Non-coding RNA from Pelodiscus sinensis (Chinese soft-shelled turtle), 545 nucleotides. The record is from RefSeq and is a predicted model, not a curated record. Lineage: Eukaryota; Metazoa; Chordata; Testudines; Trionychidae.
UGAUUUUGAUGUGGGAUCAAAUUGACCUGAACAAAUUAACCUGAAAUAAGUGAUUGGAAGCAAUCUGAAUCUUUUGUAAUCUUUGGUGUGUAGUAAACACAUUCCAAUCUGUCUAUGACUUCAUGGUAAGAUUGUUACAGUGUUUCAGGAGAUCACCUUGGUUACUGGUUUGGUGAGAGCUAAUCAUUGGGCAUACAACCAGUAUGGGAUCUCACCUUCCCUUCUUAAUCUGUUCUCGGAGGUUGGCACUCAGAGCCGUAAGCCACUCAAGACAGUGUGACAAGCAUCUUAACAGAAACUAGUUGCAACCCUAGCCCUGAAGAGACACUACAGCAGCAGCAUAAUAUUGUUAGCAAAGAUUAUGUUCAGAAGCAGAGUGGAGAAACAUCUGCUAAUCUUCGUAAGAGAAUUGACAGCACAGCAAGGAGGGACUGGAAAUUUGUUCUUGAUCCUUUUUUAACCUACUGUGGCAGGCCCCGCCCGCCUGAGUCCCCCAACACCCUUGGAAAAAAUGCACCAUCGCAAAAAAUUAAACAUGAGCUGGU